AUACAGAGAGAAACUAACAGGGAAGAAACCAGCUAAAGAAAUUUGUGAGGAGGAAACUAUGGAGAGACUGACAAAAGAAGGAACAAAUGCAGAAGAACCGAAGAAAGUACCAG
Molecule: long non-coding RNA, 113 nt
Organism: Sinocyclocheilus anshuiensis
Lineage: Eukaryota; Metazoa; Chordata; Actinopteri; Cypriniformes; Cyprinidae
Exons: 4
Source: RefSeq, a predicted model, not a curated record